Long non-coding RNA from Sinocyclocheilus anshuiensis, 191 nucleotides. RefSeq lists it as uncharacterized. The record is from RefSeq and is a predicted model, not a curated record. The transcript has 3 exons. NCBI's taxonomy places the organism in Eukaryota, Metazoa, Chordata, Actinopteri, Cypriniformes, Cyprinidae.
CAUUUCUUCACUCUGGAGUUGUACAAGUCCUGAAGACUGGGCAGAUGCACACCAAUGAUCCGUCCUGCUGUCCUAACAGUCCGUUGCAGUCUUCUUAAAUCUGAUUUGCUGGCUGACCCAAACCAGACAGUUAUAGAAGAGCACAGAACCGACUCAAUAAUAGCUGAGUAAAACUGGGUCAUCUCUGCCUG